Molecule: ribosomal RNA, 494 nt
Filed under: uncultured bacterium
Lineage: Bacteria
Description: partial 16S ribosomal RNA
Rfam family: Bacterial small subunit ribosomal RNA
Source: RNAcentral
GACGAACGCUGGCGGCGUGCUUAACACAUGCAAGUCGAACGGUGAAGCGCCUUCCUUUUUGGUGGGUGUGGAUGAGUGGCGAACGGGUGAGUAACACGUGAGUAACCUGCCCCCUUCUUCUGGAUAACCGCAUGAAAGUGUGGCUAAUACGGGAUAUUCUGGGUCUGUCGCAUGAUGGGUCUGGGAAAGAUAUUGUUUCGGUGGGGGAUGGGCUCGCGGCCUAUCAGCUUGUUGGUGGGGUGAUGGCCUACCAAGGCGGUGACGGGUAGCCGGCCUGAGAGGGUGGACGGUCACACUGGGACUGAGACACGGCCCAGACUCGUACGGGAGGCAGCAGUGGGGAAUAUUGCACAAUGGGCGCAAGCCUGAUGCAGCGACGCCGCGUGAGGGAUGGAGGCCUUCGGGUUGUGAACAUCUUUCGCCAGUGAAGCAGGCCUGCCUCGUUUGUGGGUGGGUUGACGGUAGCUGGAUAAGAAGCGCCGGCUAACUACGUG